Molecule: ribosomal RNA, 413 nt
Filed under: uncultured bacterium
Lineage: Bacteria
Description: bacterial SSU rRNA
Rfam family: Bacterial small subunit ribosomal RNA
Source: RNAcentral
UGGGGAAUUUUUGGCAAUGGGGGCAACCCUGACCAAGCAACGCCGCGUGGGUGAUGAAGUCUCUUGGGACGUAAAACCCUUUCGACGGGGAAGAAAACCGCAAGGUUUGACGGUACCCGUAGAAGAAGCCCCGGCUAACUCCGUGCCAGCAGCCGCGGUAAUACGGGGGGGGCAAGCGUUGUUCGGAAUUACUGGGCGUAAAGGGUGCGUAGGCGGUUCGCUAAGUUGGAUGUGAAAACUAUGGGCUCAACCCAUAGCCUGCAUCCAAUACUGACGAACUAGAGUUCUGGAGGGGGUAGCGGAAUUCCUGGUGUAGCGGUGAAAUGCGUAGAUAUCAGGAGGAACACCGGUGGCGAAGGCGGCUACCUGGACAGAGUCUGACGCUGAGGCACGAAAGCUAGGGGAGCAAACAG